AGAAACUUAGGUUAAACCAAAACCAAGAGCCUUCAAAGCCCAAAACAAGAGACCCCUCCCUCUUAUUUUUUG
This 72-nucleotide transfer RNA is filed under the name Nephrurus wheeleri. Its description in RNAcentral is "tRNA-Trp". The record is from RNAcentral. Lineage: Eukaryota; Metazoa; Chordata; Lepidosauria; Squamata; Carphodactylidae.